AUCUGCCUGUGUUUGGCUGAGUGGAAUUGGUUGUGUUGGAGCUUAUGGUAAUAGCUUCUUUCCUGCCCUUUACCCACAACCUCCUCACGGAUGGUCAUUUGCAG
RNAcentral lists this microRNA precursor (104 nucleotides) under Mus pahari (shrew mouse). RNAcentral describes it as "microRNA 6992 (MGP_PahariEiJ_G0006615.1)". The record is from RNAcentral. Lineage: Eukaryota; Metazoa; Chordata; Mammalia; Rodentia; Muridae.